AUGGUACUGCCCGAAGUUGACGGCGGCGUGGUGGCCGGACGUGACCCACAUGAUGAUGGUGAGGAUCUGGACGAGGUUCUCCUUGGAGUCGCACACGGGCCACCACGGCUCGUCCUUCUUGUCCGCGUGCCCCUUGGUGCGCACCUCCUCCCACCACGCCCGCAGCUCCUCGUCGCCGGCCACGUCCUCGUCCGACUUGUAGUAGAAGUCCACGUAGUCGGACGCCCACUCCUUGAUGGAGCCCCAGAUGAGCAGCCCGUCGUCGGCGUACGGGUAGUCCUUGAUGGCGAGCUCGAGCUCGCCGUCGUCCCUGCGCUCGGCGAGCCCCCGGCUGACGAGGUCCUCCGGCAGCGCCUCCGUGUCGAACUGCCAGGCCGCGCCGUAGGCGACGGAGCUGAGCUCGAUGGAGUACCUCCCCGGCCAGAAGGCCUCCUCGAUGAUGCCGUCGGCGUUGAUGAGCGCCUCCCGGGCCAGCGCGUUGAUCUCCAUGGUGUAGCGGAAGUGCGGGUGCAGCAGGCGGUGCACCGGGUGCAUCCGGCUGAGCUGCCGGUUGGUGGCGAUGAUGUAGGGCUCGACGCAGGCGUGCGUGCGCAGCCAGUGGCUGACCAGCUGGUGGUAGCCGGUGUCGUGGGUCAGCACGUGCGCCUUGGCCAGCUUCCACAGCCACGACUCGGUGGCGUCGGGGCCGUGCGUGAAGGCGCGCUUCCACUGCGGCCUGGUCGGCGACUGAGGCCGCGUCAGCUCGAUGGCCAGCGGCAUCAGCGUGCCCUCCUCGCUCAGGAAGAAGACGGUGCGGGAGCCGUACAGCGUCGUGUCCGGCAGCUCGCGCACCCUGUGCACGUACGGCAGGAACACGUCGUGGUAGUCCAGCAGGAACAGCCGCUUCUUCUCCACCGCCUCCUCCACCGUCAUGCGCCCGUUCAUCAUCUUCUCCAGGACCUCCUUGGUCAGCGCCGACUCCGCCGGCCCGUACACCGCCGGGUCCAGCUUGCUCACGAUGGGGAAUUCCUGCACCAUGGAUGCAUGCAUGCAUGCACUCUCGUUAAUUAA
This 1050-nucleotide ribosomal RNA is filed under the name Triticum aestivum (bread wheat). RNAcentral describes it as "partial small subunit ribosomal RNA". The record is from RNAcentral. Lineage: Eukaryota; Viridiplantae; Streptophyta; Magnoliopsida; Poales; Poaceae.